UGGGGAAUAUUGCACAAUGGGCGAAAGCCUGAUGCAGCGACGCCGCGUGAGGGAUAACGGCCUUCGGGUUGUAAACCUCUUUCAGCAGGGAGGAAGCGAAAGUGACGGUACCUGCAGAAGAAGCGCCGGCUAACUACGUGCCAGCAGCCGCGGUAAUACGUAGGGCGCAAGCGUUGUCCGGAAUUAUUGGGCGUAAAGAGCUCGUAGGCGGUUAGUCGCGUCUGCUGUGAAAACUCGAGGCUCAACCUCGGGCUUGCAGUGGGUACGGGCUGACUAGAGUGCGGUAGGGGUGACUGGAAUUCCUGGUGUAGCGGUGGAAUGCGCAGAUAUCAGGAGGAACACCGAUGGCGAAGGCAGGUCACUGGGCCGCAACUGACGCUGAGGAGCGAAAGCAUGGGGAGCGAACAGGAUUAGAUACCCUGGUAGUCCAUGCCGUAAACGUUGGGCACUAGGUGUGGGGUCCAUUCCACGGAUUCCGUGCCGCAGCAAACGCAUUAAGUGCCCCGCCUGGGGAGUACGGCCGCAAGGCUAAAACUCAAAUGAAUUGACGGGGUC
Molecule: ribosomal RNA, 555 nt
Filed under: uncultured bacterium
Lineage: Bacteria
Description: partial 16S ribosomal RNA
Rfam family: Bacterial small subunit ribosomal RNA
Source: RNAcentral